AUGGGCUGUGUAGUAUCUUCACAAAGAGUAGUCUACCACAUAAAUGAGUUGAAGUCAAUCUUUACUUCUAUCUUCAGAAACUGCACAGGAAUCGGCAUCGCAGGCCGUCACUUUCAAGGACUUCGUUACACCAACUUCAAGGGCCAACAACUCCUUCUCUGCAGGAGCAACGACAACAUCAGCAGUCGGUACUACUGGAGUGCAUUUGUCCUGCUUAUUUCCUGUGGGUGGUACAGUUGCGAGCAUCUCAUCUGUACUGCGUGCUCUUACUUGGUCCACAUGCCUUUUCACAGUUUGUCCCUGUCCCAGAGUGGUCUUGUACGAAAGAGGUCCUGUGCAACUUUCCACUACUGCAGGUAUCCAUUUUGGUCCCCCACUAUAGUUCCUCACAU
Long non-coding RNA from Cyprinus carpio carpio, 392 nucleotides. The record is from Ensembl. Lineage: Eukaryota; Metazoa; Chordata; Actinopteri; Cypriniformes; Cyprinidae.